Molecule: ribosomal RNA, 706 nt
Filed under: uncultured fungus
Lineage: Eukaryota; Fungi
Description: eukaryotic LSU rRNA
Rfam family: Eukaryotic large subunit ribosomal RNA (bases 81-706)
Source: RNAcentral
GCCGUCUGGCUCUAAGCGUAGUAAUACUUCUCGCUAUAGGGUCUAGUCGUCCACCCGCCAGAACCCCCAACUUCUUAGGUUGACCUCGGAUCAGGUAGGGAUACCCGCUGAACUUAAGCAUAUCAAUAAGCGGAGGAAAAGAAACCAACAGGGAUUGCCUCAGUAACGGCGAGUGAAGCGGCAACAGCUCAAAUUUGAAAUCUGCCUCUAGGCCGAGUUGUAAUUUGUAGAAGAUGCUUCGGGUGUGGCACUGGUCUAAGUUCCUUGGAACAGGACGUCAUAGAGGGUGAGAAUCCCGUACGUGACUGGCUGCCUUCGCCCAUGUGAAGCUCUUUCGACGAGUCGAGUUGUUUGGGAAUGCAGCUCAAAAUGGGUGGUAUAUUUCAUCUAAAGCUAAAUAUUGGCCAGAGACCGAUAGCGCACAAGUAGAGUGAUCGAAAGAUGAAAAGCACUUUGGAAAGAGAGUUAAACAGUACGUGAAAUUGUUGAAAGGGAAGCGCUUGCAACCAGACUUGCGCGCCGUCGAUCAUCCGAGGUUUUCCCCGGUGCACUCGGCGGUGCUCAGGCCAGCAUCGGUUUCGGUGGUUAGAUAAAGGCCUUGGGAAUGUGACUCCUCCGGGAGUGUUAUAGCCCUCGGUGCAAUGUAGCCUAUCGGGACCGAGGACCGCGCUUCGGCUAGGAUGCUGGCGUAAUGGUUGUAAGCGAC